Molecule: ribosomal RNA, 461 nt
Filed under: uncultured eukaryote
Lineage: Eukaryota
Description: SSU rRNA
Rfam family: Eukaryotic small subunit ribosomal RNA
Source: RNAcentral
UUGCAGUUAAAAAGCUCGUAGUUGAAUUUCUGGUCAGUUGUAGUCUUGGCUUCGGUCGGGCUAUGGCUGGUCAUCCGUUUGCAAGCUGCUCUCGGCCUUCACUGGUUCGGAGUAGUGAGCUGACAAUUUACUUUGAAAAAAUUAGAGUGUUUCAGGCAGGCUUUUGCCCGAAUACAUUAGCAUGGAAUAAUGGAAUUGGACUUAGGUUCAUUUGGUUGGUUAUUGGAUCUGAGUAAUGGUUAAUAGGGACAGUUGGGGGCAUUAGUAUUUAAUUGUCAGAGGUGAAAUUCUUGGAUUUUUUAAAGACUAACUUAUGCGAAAGCAUUUGCCAAGGAUGUUUUCAUUAAUCAAGAACGAAAGUUAGGGGAUAAAAGAUGAUCAGAUACCAUUGUAUUCUUAACUAUAAACUAUACCGACUCGGAAUUGGUAGGGUAUCUUAGCUCUAUCAGCACCGUAGGAGA